RNAcentral lists this ribosomal RNA (248 nucleotides) under uncultured Alphaproteobacteria bacterium. Its description in RNAcentral is "partial 16S ribosomal RNA". It matches the Rfam family "Bacterial small subunit ribosomal RNA", at positions 796 to 1041 of the family's 1533-position model. Lineage: Bacteria; Pseudomonadati; Pseudomonadota; Alphaproteobacteria. The record is from RNAcentral.
CACGCCGUAAACGAUGAGUGCUAGAUGUCAGGGUCUUAGAUCCUGGUGUCGCAGCUAACGCAUUAAGCACUCCGCCUGGGGAGUACGGUCGCAAGAUUAAAACUCAAAGGAAUUGACGGGGACCCGCACAAGCGGUGGAGCAUGUGGUUUAAUUCGAGGCAACGCGAAGAACCUUACCAGCCCUUGACAUGUCUAGUAUGGGAUAGAGAGAUUUAUUCCUUCAGUUUGGCUGGCUAGAACACAGGUGC